GACGAACGCUGGCGGCGUGCUUAACACAUGCAAGUCGAACGGAAAGGCCCUGCUUUUGUGGGGUGCUCGAGUGGCGAACGGGUGAGUAACACGUGAGUAACCUGCCCUUGACUUUGGGAUAACUUCAGGAAACUGGGGCUAAUACCGGAUAGGAGCUCCUGCUGCAUGGUGGGGGUUGGAAAGUUUCGGCGGUUGGGGAUGGACUCGCGGCUUAUCAGCUUGUUGGUGGGGGAGUGGCUUACCAAGGCUUUGACGGGUAGCCGGCCUGGGAGGGUGACCGGCCACAUUGGGCCUGCGAUACGGCCCAGACUCCUACGGGAGGCAGCAGUGGGGAAUAUUGCACAAUGGGCGGAAGCCUGUUGCAGCGACGCCGCGUUCGGGAUGACGGCCUUCGGGUUGUAAACCGCUUUCGCCUGUGACGAAGCGUGAGUGACGGUAAUGGGUAAAGAAGCACCGGCUAACUACGUG
This 468-nucleotide ribosomal RNA is filed under the name uncultured bacterium. RNAcentral's name for it is "partial 16S ribosomal RNA". It matches the Rfam family "Bacterial small subunit ribosomal RNA", at positions 28 to 507 of the family's 1533-position model. The record is from RNAcentral.